GUCUAUGGCCAUAGCACCCUGAACGCAACUGAUCUUGUCUGAUCUCAGAAGCUAAGUAGGGUUGGGCCUGGUUAGUACUUGGAUGGGAGAAAGGGGGUAUGAGUCCCAGUAACAGAGAGA
Molecule: ribosomal RNA, 120 nt
Organism: Cavia porcellus (domestic guinea pig)
Lineage: Eukaryota; Metazoa; Chordata; Mammalia; Rodentia; Caviidae
Source: Ensembl